Molecule: non-coding RNA, 704 nt
Organism: Leptonychotes weddellii (Weddell seal)
Lineage: Eukaryota; Metazoa; Chordata; Mammalia; Carnivora; Phocidae
Source: RefSeq, a predicted model, not a curated record
AUGGGCAAGAAAGAGGCGCUUCCGGACCAGGUCGGGCAGAGGUAUCCAGAAGAUGCAUCCGAUAUAAAGGACAUGUCCAAAUUCAAACCUCACAUUCUGCUGUCCCAAGAGAAUACACAGAUUAGAGACUUGCAGCAGGAAAACAGAGAGCUAUGGGUUUCCUUGGAGGAACACCAGGAUGCUUUGGAACUCAUCAUGAGCAAGUACCGGAAGCAGAUGUUACAAUUAAUGGUUGCUAAAAAGGCCGUGGAUGCUGAACCAGUCCUGAAAGCUCACCAGUCUCACCCUGCAGAAAUUGAGAGUCAGAUUGACAGAAUCUGUGAAAUGGGAGAAGUGAUGAGGAAAGCAGUUCAGGUGGAUGAUGACCAAUUUUGUAAAAUUCAGGAAAAACUAGCCCAAUUAGAGCUUGAAAAUAAGGAACUUCGAGAAUUAUUGUCCAUCAGCAGUGAGUCUCUUCAGGUCAGGAAGGAAAACUCAAUGGCCACUGCUUCCCAAGCCAUCAAAUAACUCAACUUCUGAAUGACGGUGGGAGAUUGUUUAUCAAGAAAGGAAGUUAUUAUCUUUCGAGUAUUGUCCAUUUAGUGUUUUGCCUCAGACUUGAUUUAGUGUUGAUUAAAGGUAUCAGGCGGCAGUUUAAAAAAAUAUAUAUAUAUCACAAGAGUUGAUAGCUGAAUUAUUUGAGGGUGUCUUUUCCAGCCAAGUUA